CUUCGCGCCUAUAGCGGCAUGGACCCACCCGAUCCCAUCCCGAACUCGGAAGUUAAGCAUGCCAGCGCCGAUGAUAGUUGGGGGGCGACCCCCUGCAAAAGUAGGUCGGCGCGAGGA
Molecule: ribosomal RNA, 117 nt
Organism: Truepera radiovictrix DSM 17093
Lineage: Bacteria; Thermotogati; Deinococcota; Deinococci; Trueperales; Trueperaceae
Source: Rfam